CUCAACCAGAUAUUCCUGUCACUAAACCAACCUCUCCCACAAAACAAUCCUCUCCACAUCCUGAACCAACUCCUGAACAUAAAUCACCUGAACCAUCUCCUGAACAUAUUUACCCUGAAUCAACUUCUGACAUUUCAUCAUCUGAACCAACCCCUGAACCCCAUCCUAACCCAAGUACUGAACAUGUUUCUCCUGAGCGUAUUCACACUUGUGCUCCCAAGCCCUCAG
RNAcentral lists this long non-coding RNA (228 nucleotides) under Trifolium pratense (red clover). Its description in RNAcentral is "long non-coding RNA (TPRA_LNC005889)". Lineage: Eukaryota; Viridiplantae; Streptophyta; Magnoliopsida; Fabales; Fabaceae. The record is from RNAcentral.